Molecule: transfer RNA, 77 nt
Filed under: Thermus thermophilus
Lineage: Bacteria; Thermotogati; Deinococcota; Deinococci; Thermales; Thermaceae
Description: tRNA-Val
Rfam family: tRNA
About the family: Transfer RNA (tRNA) molecules are approximately 80 nucleotides in length.
Source: RNAcentral
GGGCGGCUAGCUCAGCUGGCCAGAGCACUCGCCUUACAAGCGAGGGGUCGUAGGUUCAAGUCCUACGCCGCCCACCA